GUCACUCAGUGGCCCAGCUGGAGACUCCUGUCGCUUCCGCUUUGACUGGGACAGCUGUGAGAGAGCUCCUCGGGGCCUGGGAACCGCUCGCUGCUCCAGAAAAACAGAAGUGCAGCGGGUCUGUGUGGAGGCAUGUCUGCAGAUGGGCUUUGGGGUCCUGUAAGAAAAGUCAUGUUGUUACACACAAGAUGGGCUUGAAGGAAAUCUGCAGAGUCGGCAGGAGCCAUGUUCUUUCCGCCAUACCGCACUGCUGAGACCGCAAGCUCAUUCUCCAAGAAAGAAGGCUGAUGGUGAUUCCAGACACUUCCUCCUUCCUGGGGAAGAUGUGGAACUGUGAUUUGCGGGGGCAAAUGCCCCAUGCUUGUCAGAAAUCUCAGAGGAGAAUUUUGAACACUGUGGCUUUCAAGCCUGCUUAGGGUGGCAGGAGUCAUAUGGAAGAGAGGUAUUUGUGGCCUUAUGGAUUUCUACCCCUGCCCCCCUGCCCCCCAGUAUAUGUAGGGUCUCUGCACAGACCAGCGAGGAUGAUGUGGUACAGACCUUGUUUUAAAUUCAUUCUCCUACCCUGCUGUCAGUAUACAGAAGGCAGAAUGGCAGAAAGCAUUUGUCACUGGUUGAUACUCUAAAUCUCUGUUGUGCAGGGGCGCCUGGGGGGCUCACUCGUUAAGCGUCUGCCUUCGGCUCAGGUCAUGAUCCCAGGGUCCUGGGAUCGAGCCCCACAUCGGGCUCCCUGCUCAGUGGGAAGCCUGCUUCUCCCUCUGCCACUCCCCCUGCUUGUGUUCCCUCUCUCGCUCUGUCUCUCUCUGUCAAAUAAAUAAAUAAAAUCUCUA
Long non-coding RNA from Mirounga angustirostris (Northern elephant seal), 827 nucleotides. RefSeq lists it as uncharacterized. Lineage: Eukaryota; Metazoa; Chordata; Mammalia; Carnivora; Phocidae. The transcript is spliced from 3 exons. The record is from RefSeq and is a predicted model, not a curated record.